GAUGAACGCUAGCGGAAGGCUUAAUACAUGCAAGUCGAGCGGUAAAAAUCUGAGCAAUUGGAUUUGAGAGCGGCGCACGGGUGAGUAACGCGUACAUGACCUACCUUUAAGAUCGGGAUAGCCCUGGGAAACUGGGAUUAAUACCGGAUGUGAUAAUAAGUAUAGAGAUUUAUUAUUAAAGCUGAGGCGCUUAGAGAUGGGUGUGCGUCUGAUUAGCUAGUUGGUAGGGUAAAGGCCUACCAAGGCGACGAUCAGUAGGGGGCGUGAGAGCGUGAUCCCCCACACGGGUACUGAGACACGGACCCGACUCCUACGGGAGGCAGCAGUAGGGAAUAUUGGUCAAUGGACGGAAGUCUGAACCAGCCAUUCCGCGUGCAGGAAGAAGAUUCUAUGGAUUGUAAACUGCUUUUAGCAGAGAAGAAAAGCCUUCAUUUAUGAGGGUCUGACGGUAUCUGCGGAAUAAGCACCGGCUAACUCCGUG
This 481-nucleotide ribosomal RNA is filed under the name uncultured organism. Its description in RNAcentral is "bacterial SSU rRNA". It matches the Rfam family "Bacterial small subunit ribosomal RNA", at positions 28 to 507 of the family's 1533-position model. The record is from RNAcentral.